Molecule: non-coding RNA, 3800 nt
Organism: Oryza sativa Japonica Group (Japanese rice)
Lineage: Eukaryota; Viridiplantae; Streptophyta; Magnoliopsida; Poales; Poaceae
Source: RefSeq, a predicted model, not a curated record
UGCUCCCCUCUUUCAAUUUUGCUAGUCUACCCAUGAUUAUGUUAUUUCUUUGUUGCUUGCAGUCAACGAAGGGGGUACCAGAGUAUGGAGUAGGAUGGCUGCUGGCUGCAAGUGCUUUGUGAAUUGUGAUUCUAUCAAAAAUCAUAACAGUUAGCCAACACUUAGAGCACGUUUCUAUGGAGAAAUUUCUUAAGCGGAAAGCACCAGAUUGUACAAGCAAUGUGGGGAGUUCAUAUCCCUUCGACUAGAUGAUGCCAGUUGGGAAAAGACGAUCGAAUAUGAUCCAGGCUCAAGGAAAGGAAUUGAUGAUUAUCAUCCCAACCAAAGAGCCAAGGUGAGAAGAAAGUACUCAGAGAAUGGGCCUUGCCAACCUGGUGAUCAUGCUUUUCCCAUAUCAGUUAUUUCUAACAAAGAUAGAAAAUUCAAUCCGGCAUGGUUUGAUGAGUUUGGUGGAUGGCUUGAGUACAACAAGUCCAAAGAUAGAGCAUAUUAUUUCUUUUGCUUCUUGUUUAGGGACCGGAAUAAAAAGAUAGAGCAUAUUAUUUCUUUUGCUUCUUGUUUAGGGACCGGAAUAAAAAGGAGGAAGGAUACAAAGCAUUUGUUAACGUUGGUUGGAAUGGCUAUUAUAGAAAGGAUAGGCUAAGAGAGCAUGUAGGUGGAGUUGGUAGCUUGCACAAUCAACCAGCAUUGUUAGGAACUUAUGAUGUUUGCUGGUUGGUCUCUUACGACAAAAAAAAAUAUUCGUCACAAUACAUCGUUGGACUAGUUUAUGACUAUCUGUAUUUGGUCUAGUGACAAGCACCUUAUUUUCAUCAGUAAUCAGCACCACCCCUAUUGAACAUCAUAAACCGAAAUGGCAUAGUGACGAAUAGCUCUAAUGUCAUAAGAAAUUCGUCACAAAAGGUCGUAGCCUCUCAGAUUCCGACCAUUGAUUUUAUAUUUCACGUUUUUUUUUGUGUUAUCCAGAGUUCAUGGAACUAGCAACUAGGUGGCUUUGGUUGUAGCCUCGAUGAAGAAUGGAGAAAAAGGUGAAGGGUGCUUAGUAUUUAUCUCCGAAACAACAAUGCAAGGGUGCGUUGAACAAUUAGUAGUUAUGUGAGCAGUCCAACAACCAUCCUUGCACAGUAAGUUGCAGGGGCAAAGUUACUGUUGUUACGUAUAUGUACUAGUAUGUAACUUAGAAUAUAUCGAAGCUAGCAUAUGCCAUUCCCACUAAAAUUACUGGAGAAAACUCAGUCCCCUUAGUAGGGCCUUCUAGCAAGUUUAACCAAUAUAGCCAACUGCUAGCUCUAAGCACUGCUAUAGAAAUAAUCAUAGGUCUUGGUUUGUGACGGACCAUCAAUGCCGAAUAUGAUGCUGCGCCGGUACCAAAUUAGCGGCACUAAGUCCAGCAGCAAUGAUGGACUGGGAACCGACACUCAUAGCUUUACACUAGCCAGAACAAAAGGGGAUGCCGCUCAAUGAAUCAGCUCGAUUCAAGCUGAUUGCUUUCAAACCCCCUACCCCCACCGUCACCCUCCAAUGAGAUAGUCAAGAACACCGACAACCUAACACAUCAGAAUCAACAUCCACGUAGAUCAAGAACACCCACACAAUCAAGGAAAAAUCCAUAGGUUGAGAAUAUCCACUGAACAUAUAUGAAAUACAUGCACCGAAAAAUGAAGCAACUAUACAACUAGCAUUUUUUAUGCUGCGGAAAAUGAAGUAUGGGGGCCAAUGUCCUCCUGAAGUUUGGACAAAAAGACCCGAUUGGGUAGCCGCACUCCACCAUAUCUCAAGUCGGUGACCUCAAGAAGGUGAUGAUGGCAUCGUAGAUCUGGAACACUCCAUCCUGACCACUCCGCUCGUUUGCAUCUCAUCACCGACUUGAGCAUGUCACCCAUUGCUAUAGUGUCAUCCCUAGCUCCUUAACGUAGAAUGUCAUGACCUAUAACAAAAUAACUACAUGUGGUACCAUAGUGAGGGUGUAGCCGCAUGGGUGGCAGUAGUGGAUGGGAAGGGGGUCAAAUCAUAGGCAUGUUGUAUAGUUAACCAAUACGCUAUAGGGAGCGCUACGGCUCGAAUGUCUGAUAUUUGCCAAAUAUCGAAUGGUGUUUCGUCAUGUGUAAAUAAAUGUUUCAGAUGUUUCAUUACUUGUUACAAAUAUUUUAACAAAAAUUAUCUCAGAUAUUCAUCACUUGUUGAGAAAUAUUUCCUCACUAGGCAGGAAAUGUUUAGAUGUUUCAUUACUUAUUAAAAAACUAUUUUAACAAAAAUUAUUUCAGAUAUUCAUUACUUGUUGAAAAAUAUUUCAUCAAUAGGUAGAAAAUAUUUCAUGAUCUUAGAUAGUAGGGUAUAAUGGCAUCAUAGGUUGUUAUUUUGUUUUGAGACAAUAGAAGAAAUUUACAUGCUUGGAUUUUUUUUAAAAAAAAUAUCGAAAAGAAACAAAAGAAAUAGAAUGGAUAUACAUGAUGCCGGGAUGAACUGAAAAAAAUUAAUAGAAUGAGGGAACAAGAAAUACCAUUAGCAAUUCCUAUGCCCAGAUCGUUGAUACAGACCAGGAUGAAAGUGGGGAAAAUAUUUUUAUCCCUCGAAGAGAUGUCCCCUUGUUUGCUUAAAACCAUUUAAAUGGUUAUGAAAAAUUCUAGAAAAUUUUGGCAACACUUAUAAAAUAGAUCUAUCUAUCUUGAGUCCAAACUCAACUCACACAAAUCGAGAUAUAAAAAAAGACAAAUUCGGCGUAUGAAUAGUAGUGUAUUUUGUUUAUAUCUGAAUUUGUCUUUUUUGUUUCUCGAUGUGUAGAUCGAAUUUGAACUUUGAUUUUUGUGGCCUAGAAGAUAUUACGAUACUCUACAUUGUUAUUUUUUUUCAAAAUUUUUCAUGACUAUUCACAUCGAAUAUAAAAGAAAAAUUUGCACGAGGGGACAUCCCCUCGAGGGAUUAGAAUCCACUCCCAUGUGUACGGGGGUACCAAGGACAUCAGCUUGGAUGGAAAUGGUGCCAUAUGGCUGAUACCUACAUAACCCUCUACUACUGGAGCCUUGUCCAUUACCCCCUCCGUUGCAUAUUCAUAUUUUUUAAAAACUUUAUCAAACUUAAAAGAAGUUUGAUUGAAAAAUCAAAACGACUUAUAAAAUGAAACGGAGGAAGUAUCAUCUUGGAAUUCUGCCUGCAUUAGUUUAUGCCCCUCUCCAGUACCUCAAUUCUUGAAUGCGCCACCCUUGCAUGUCUGCCAUCGUUUACUGAUGGGGUUCAAUGAUCGAGCCGAAAAGAAAGUAGGGCGGCAAUUCCCGGUGCCUCCCUCUCCUACCUCAUGACCUCUUAGAGUUCCUGCGACAAACUAAUAUCUGACUUUUAUUUUCUGUUGCUGUCUCUCCUAGAAUUCGAAUUCGUGCAACAAGAUGGUUUCAAUUUUGGUUCAUAUCAGGUUCAUCAAGCAUCGAUGAACAAGAAAGUUCUGCAAAACUCAUAUUUAUCGCCAAAGCAACCAAACAAGGGUGCAUUUUGACAACAAGCAAUGCCAUGUGAGCGGUCCGCCAACCAUAUAUUUCGUCGAGUUAGUUGCAGACAUAAAGUCGAUCGAUAGGAUGUAAGCUAGCACAUGUAUACGUGUAGAGAAAUUUGGCUCCAGGCCUCCAAAAUCCUGUUCAUAGAAUACAUGUUAUGUGACAAAAGAAAAAAUUAGAUUGAACUAGUCAACCUGUGUGUUGCACAGGCUAUUACUAUUAUUAGUAUCAUAAUAUUUAGAUUCUAAACAUAUAUCGUUGUGUCAACUACAACACAGUAAUUAUUAAUUUAGGCCUAUCUCAAACUUUGUAAAA